This is a long non-coding RNA of Equus caballus (horse), 2818 nucleotides long. NCBI's taxonomy places the organism in Eukaryota, Metazoa, Chordata, Mammalia, Perissodactyla, Equidae. The record is from Ensembl.
AGGACCGGUGAGUUGACAGUGCAAAGAAGAAUCUGGAAGGAGGGAUGACCGCAAAUAGACACUUUUGUUUCUGUUAUUCUUGGAACGCACUUGAGCACGUGUUGGUGCUGUGGUUUAUGAUUUUCAGAGCACUCUAACUUGCAUUAUCUAGUCUGAUCUUCACAGGAGCUCCGUGGGGUGUACAGGGAAUAUUAUUCCAAAAUUAGGUGGAAACUAAGGUUCAGAGAGCUUAGAUGCCUUUUCCAAGGUAGUGGCAUAGCUCGGUCUCAAACCCAGGUCAGGUCUCCUGGUCUUCUCAGGUACUGGUGGGAAUCCAAGACAUGUUCAACAGACUACUGGAUGUGUGGGUUUGGGUCACAAGAGAGAGACCUUGGCUACAGAUAGAGAUAUGAGCAUCAUCGGUGAAUAUCUUUUUGCUUUUCUGAUAAGAGGGCAUAUAUGCAGCUGCAUCUGGCUUUACCCACUUACCCCUCUCCUACCUUAAAGGCAGAUGUGAUGUCUGGGGCUGCAGCAGCCAUUUUGUUACCAUGAACUGACAGUAAUGUGAAAGCCAACCCACUAAGGAUGGGAGUAUGGAAGUAUAGAAAGUGCCAGAAUUGUUGAGCAAUUGGAACAAUGCUUUCAACUGCUUACAUCUGGAUUUAUCAUUAUGUGAGAAAAACAGGCCCUAUUCGUUUAAGCCACUAUAGUCAGAUUUUCUUUACUUGAUGAUACAUGGGGGGGACAUGAUGUCAAGAGCUGUGGCAUGAGGUGGCCACAUGAGGAAAAAAGCCAACACACUGAGAAAUAUAUAAAGUGCUGAAAGAACAAAGGAGCUGGUUCCUUCUGUCCACCUAUGACCGGAUGUGUGUGAAGUUAGCAAGAAUUGUCCUCAGGUGCUGUGAGAAGCCUCACAGCGGUGAGCUGUCUACUAUUUAAAGGUCAGAUCAUUCCUAACUGUUACACCCUUCUUCACGCUGAGUAGGAUGCUACACUGAUUUACAAACUUCCUUCUGAUGCUCGACUCCACCUGUGUCUGCGGCUGCCGUCCUGGGAACGACUGUGCCACCAGGCCUCGCUGUCACGUCCCCCUGUCCUGCGUCCAGGGUUCCCACCUGCAGCUGGCUGGCAGCCGUGUGCUGAGCUGUGUGGCGAUCUGUGACAGAGCAGGGGAAGUGCCUUCCCCCUUCCGGGACACCGUGGAACGGAGGCCCCGAGCAGAGUUGCUUUGCGCUAAUGUGUCGCACAGUGCAGUGGCAGCUUCUAUUUCUUGUUUCUCUUGGAGCCAUCUGUCUGUUUCUGACCCAGAUAAGUGUUCAGGAGGCUGGGCCGUGGGAGGUGUAGAGAGGCAGCUACAGUGCUGGGCUCGGAAUGCCUUCCUCCAACCACAGGCCAGGCUUUAGCUGCUCUUCUUAGGGUGAGCUCUUUUCUGGGAGCUCCUCAGCUUCCCAGAAGGUAGUCGUCUCCCCUGGGCCACCCCAGCAGCUUGUCAGACUGGCUGGCUUCACGUUCGGCUUGGCUUCUCUCUCAGGAAUAGCCCCUGCCUCUUGGAAAACAGGCUUGAUUCAGACGCUCCCAUCAGUCCGCCACACACGCACUCCUGGGCCAUCAGAGACCCUUGCGGCUGCAGCCCAGGCCCGAUGAGCUUUCCGCUUCACAGGUCAAGCCCGAAUGCAUAAAGCAGCCACGUAUCCAGAACUCCUGCGGCCUCGUGUGCUUAUUGGCAGCACCUGAAUCCCAGAAUAGACAUUUCCCUAUUAAGGAACAGAAACGAUGGAAGGAGAACAAAGCCACCCUUUAUCGGAGCAGAUUGCUUUACCUGAAACAGCCCUCUAACAGACGUGCUCCUGAAGUACCUCUUGAUGAAAUCUGUGAACAUUUGUAGUAUUUUACAUUGCGCUUAAUAAUUUAUUAGUGUUUAAUAUUUCACAGGAGUAAAGCAGAAAACCUGAUAAAAUUUUCAUAUCUGCUAUUAUAAGCUAAGUAGGAUGCGAGCCGCGGCUGGGCGGUACCCAGAGCCCGGAGCCUGGGGUCCGCUCCGUGCGCCCCGAGUGCCCAGGUCACCACAGUAGCCUCUCUGCCCGUUCCCCCAGGGAGAACCAACACCUAUGGGAAGCUGAGCUUAUAAUUAGUAACAGCAAAUCCAAUUCACGGUUCUAAGCGUUUCAUAGGAACAAUUCGUUAAUUUCUCACCACCCUCCUAUGAGAUAGAAGCUCUUAAUAUUCUCAUUUUACAGAUGAGAAAAUCGAGGCACGGCGAGGGGGUGAUUCACUCAGGGUCGUGCAGGAGUCAGGAGCUGGAAUUUGGGUCCAGGCGGGCUCGCUCCAGAGUCUGUAUUCUUAACUAUUACACUAUAUGUUUUCUCUAAAAACAAACCAAUCAAUAAACAAUUUGUUGCAUCCUUAUCUGGCUCAGGGCUCUGGGCCACACGCGCUCCAGGGGAUAACACAGUGAGACUUCCUGUCCGCGUCUACACGCCCGCCCUCUGAAGCCAGCAGGCACUCUGCUGCUCCACUUGUCUGCUGAGUGACCCCAGGCGAGUAACCCAAUCAUUCUGAUCGUCAAAAAUACCUGCCUCACAGGUUUGCUGUGAACGUGAAAGGAAACAAAUUUGAAGAAAAGUAUCCUAGACCACGUUGGCUGGUGGGCGAAAUCUGCUCUGCUGGGUUUUUUUAAACAGCUUUAUUGAGAUUUACUCAAAGUGCUUAAAAAACCACUUUAAGUGUUUUUCAGUAUAUUCACAGAUAUGUGCAACCAUCAUGACAAUCAAUUUUAGAGCAUUUUCAUCAUAUCAAAAAGAAACCAGCACCCUUGAGCUAUUUCUGUUCCCUGAACGUC